GUGCAUAUAUCAAGGAAACAAGGGCAGGGCUGUUCGGGCAGGGAUUAUACCAGUACUGUUAAUGAUGCUGAAAGAUUCAAGCAGCUGCAUGGUUGAUGAAGCCUUGACCAUUCUUUCAGUUCUUGCCAGCCACCAAGAGGCCAAGGCUGCCAUAGCAAAAGCUAGCACGAUUCCUGUAUUGAUAGAUCUACUAAGGACAGGUCUACCUCGUAAUAAAGAGAAUGCUGCUGCUAUCUUGCUAUCCUUGUGCAAAAGAGAUACUGUGAACUUAUCUUGCCUUCGUAGGC
RNAcentral lists this unclassified non-coding RNA (287 nucleotides) under Hevea brasiliensis (rubber tree). The record is from RNAcentral. Lineage: Eukaryota; Viridiplantae; Streptophyta; Magnoliopsida; Malpighiales; Euphorbiaceae.